AUGAGAUAUGAUGAUGUUUAUCCUUCAUUUCAGCAAUAGAAUGAUGAUUACCAACAUGCACUACCAUCUGAUCUCUC
Molecule: small nucleolar RNA, 77 nt
Organism: Lupinus angustifolius (narrow-leaved blue lupine)
Lineage: Eukaryota; Viridiplantae; Streptophyta; Magnoliopsida; Fabales; Fabaceae
Source: Rfam